ACGCUAGCUAUAGGCUUAACACAUGCAAGUCGAGGGGAAACGGCAUUAUGUGCUUGCACAUUUUGGACGUCGACCGGCGCACGGGUGAGUAUCGCGUAUCCAACCUUCCCUCCACUCGGGGAUACCCCGUUGAAAGACGGCCUAAUACCCGAUGUUGUCCACAUAUGGCAUCUGACGUGGACCAAAGAUUCAUCGGUGGAGGAUGGGGAUGCGUCUGAUUAGCUUGUUGGUGCGGGUAACGGCCCACCAAGGCUACGAUCAGUAGGGGUUCUGAGAGGAAGGUCCCCCACAUUGGAACUGAGACACGGUCCAAACUCCUACGGGAGGCAGCAGUGAGGAAUAUUGGUCAAUGGACGUAAGUCUGAACCAGCCAAGUAGCGUGCAGGAUUGACGGCCCUAUGGGUUGUAAACUGCUUUUGUUGGGGAGUAAAGUGAGGCACGCGUGCCUUUUUGCAUUUACCCUUCGAAUAAGGACCGGCUAAUUCCGUGCCAGCAGCCGCGGUAAUACGGAAGGUCCAGGCGUUAUCCGGAUUUAUUGGGUUUGAAGGGAGUGUAGGCGGUCUGUUAAGCGUGUUGUGAAAUUUAGGUGCUCAACAUCUACCUUGCAGCGCGAACUGGCGGACUUGAGUGCACGCAACGUAUGCGGAAUUCAUGGUGUAGCGGUGAAAUGCUUAGAUAUCAUGACGAACUCCGAUUGCGAAGGCAGCGUACGGGAGUGUUACUGACGCUUAAGCUCGAAGGUGCGGGUAUCGAACAGGAUUAGAUACCCUGGUAGUCCGCACGGUAAACGAUGGAUGCCCGCUGUUAGCGCCUGGCGUUAGCGGCUAAGCGAAAGCAUUAAGCAUCCCACCUGGGGAGUACGCCGGCAACGGUGAAACUCAAAGGAAUUGACGGGGGCCCGCACAAGC
This 908-nucleotide ribosomal RNA is filed under the name uncultured bacterium. RNAcentral's name for it is "bacterial SSU rRNA". It matches the Rfam family "Bacterial small subunit ribosomal RNA", at positions 33 to 930 of the family's 1533-position model. The record is from RNAcentral.